UGAUGCCAGACUCUCAAUGGGGAGGAUGGAAAGAAUCCCAAGAGACCAGUGAAGCAAGAAAUUAUCAAAGCUGCGGUAUUUACGAAGUCACUUUGUGCCAGUGCCCCAGCAAGCUGCCACCAUGGCUGCCAAGCCCUGUCACCCUUGCUGAUCAGUACAGAGAGGGGCUCGCUGCGCUGGGUAGAGGAAGCAGGAAGUUUGCUGAACUCAGACGGAAGAAAAAGGAUUCCUCUGGAGAAUCCCAGCAGGUUUCUGAUUGGACAUGGGUCCAUGUCCUUGUGAAGUCUCCUCCUCCUGAACCUGCCCUGCUCUGUGACUUGCUUUUGACCACCAGCAUGCUGCAGAAGUGAUGCCGUGUGACUUCUGAGUGGGUCAUAGGAAGCCUUGCAGUGUGGCCUGGGUCUUCAGGAAUGCUUGUUUGAGGAAAACCACUGUCAUGUAAGAAGUAUGGCUACCCUGAGACUGUCAUGGUGUGAGGACUCCUAAAUGAGUCACAUGUGGAUGGCCACCUAUUCAGGCCUCAGUUCUUCCAGCCAUUGCGACUGUGGCCCACGCAUGUGGGGGAAGAGGCCAUUUUUCACGCCCAUCCCAGUUGAGUCUUUAGAUGAUCCCUUCCUGGGCCUCCAGCUGACUGUAACCAGACUCCAGGCAGGAACCACAUAGGAACUGAACCCAGUCAACCCACAGGCUGGGGAGGAUGAUAGUCCAUUGUUGUAUAAAGCCACUGCAUUUGGAAUGGUCUGUUGUAUACUACCUAAUCAGAACAAGACUCAAUCCUUUCUUCAUAGCUGGUAGUCUUAAGCAUUUAUUAAUUCAUAUUUUAGUCACAUUAUGAAUUUUCUAUCACAAUAAGCAUUUAUUGAGCACUUUUUAUAGAGGGACUAUGCUAGGCUUGAAGAAUAAAAGACACAUAGGACACGGCCCUGCUUAUGUUCAGGUAGCUGUGGUCUAAACGAGGACGCACACAUAAGGUGAAGACCCCAUGAGAUGGAAUACACGGGGAUAACAAGCCUCACAGUGGACUGGUCGCUUUACCAGGGGUGAGGCGAUUCUGCCUAUAAGGUAGGGAAGGACUUUCUGAAAGGGUGACACUGAGUUCCACCUUGAAAAAUGCCUGAGAAUUCACCCAUAGACACAGUGGAAGAGGGGUGUUCCGAGGAAGGGAGAUCAAUGUGCAGAGAGACAGAAAUCCCGGUUCGCUUAUUCCCAACAAGGCAGAGAACAAACCUCUCCCAGUGAUGCCCUCCCUUGUUCCCGUCCCCAAUCUUUUGAUAAUAGUGGGAAGGGUUUCAAAGUGAGGGUUAAAAAUGGGCUGGUUUUGCCACCCCUUAGUAAGUCUUGGGCAGGAUUCUCAACUCUUGACACUCAUUAAAAUCACCUGGGAAGCUUUUGCAAAACUCCAGCAUGGUACAACUACUUUAGAAACUGGUGUUAUCCAUUAAAACUAAACAUUUGCUUAUCUUAGCAAUUCCACUCCUAGGUUUAUAGAGUAAACAGAAACACAUACGUGCCUGUGUCAAAAAACAUGUAUAGGCAUGUUCAAGACCACACUGUUUGGCCAAGUGCCCUAGUUCAUGCCUGUAAUCCCAGCAUCUUGGGAGGCCAAGGCGGGAGUAUUGCUUGAGGCCAGGAGUUUGAGACCAGCCUGGGCAUCAUAGUGAGACUCCCAUCUUGACACACACACAGUUUUUUUUUUUAAUUAGCUGGGUGUGGUGGCGUGCACCUGUAGUCCUAGCUACUUGGGAGGCUGAGGUGAUAGGAUCCCUUGAGCCCAGAAGUUCAAGGCUGAAAUGAGCUAUGAUUGUGUCACAGCACUCCAGUAUGGGCAACAGAGAGAUCCUAUGUCCAAAACAAAAACAAAAACAAAACAAAAAUACACACAUUAUUUGUAAGAUGUAAAAAAAGGGAACAAUCCAUGUGUAUCAAUAGAAUAGUUAUAUGCUGUGUAUGCGUAAUUAGUGUCUUAACCUGUUCAGGCUGCUGAAUACCUCAACUGGGUAAUUUACAAACAACAGAAUUUAUGGCUCAUGGUUCUAGAGGCUAGGUAGUCUAAGAUGCAAACGUCAACAGAUUUGAUGUCUGGUAAGGCCCUGUUCAUCAUAGAUGGCACCCUUUUGCUGUGUCCUCACAUGGCAAAAGGGACAAACAGGAUUUUUUCAAGCCUCUUUUAUGAGGGUACUAAUUCCAUUUAUGGGGGGAGAGCCUUUGUAACCCAUUCACUUCCUAAAGCCCCCACCACUUAAUACUAUUGGAGAUUAGAUUUCAAUAUAUGAAAUUUGGGUGGGACACAAACAUUCAUACCAUAGCGGGCAGACAAUGUAAUACUAUACAGCAAUGAAAAGAAAUGAACAACAGCGACCCAGAACAACAUGAAUGAACUUUUUUUUUUUUUUUGACAGAGUCUUGCUCUAUUGCCCAGGCUGGAAUGCAGUGACACAAUCUUGGCCCAACCUCCACCUCUUGGGUUCAAGCAAUUCUCCUGCCUCCGCCUUCCGAGUAGCUGGGAUUACAGGCACACGCCACCAUGCCCAGCCAAUUUUUGUAUUUCUAGUAGAGAUGGGGUUUUGCCACGUUGAUCAGGCUGGUCUUGAACUCCUGACCUCGGGUGAUCCGCCUGCCUCAGCCUCCCAAAGUGCUGGGAUUGCAGGCAUGAGCCACUGCGCCAGGCCCAUGAAUGAAUCUUAAAAAUAAAAUAGUGAAUCAAGGAAGUCAGACACAAAGAGUACAUACUCUACGGCUGCAUUUCUAUAAAUAUCAAAAAGAGGCAAAACAAAUGUGUGGUGUUAGAAAUCAGGAGAGUGUUACUAUCCUGGGGAGGAAGGAGAAGACCUGAAGGAACUUGAGGGGGGCUUUGGCCUGCUGGUAGAGCUUUUUUUUUUUUUGUCUCGAUCUAGGUGGUAGUUACAUACGGAUAUUCACGUUGUAAAAGUUUGCCAAGGCUUUAAUGUAAUUAUCUGAUGCAUAUUAUAAUUAAAAUGGAAAGUUUGUUUUAAAAGUACCAGUGCUUGGUCUCCACCCCUAUGGACUCUGGUUUUAUUGCUCUGGGAAGGAGCUC
This 3055-nucleotide long non-coding RNA is filed under the name Homo sapiens (human). Its description in RNAcentral is "HSALNT0066555". Lineage: Eukaryota; Metazoa; Chordata; Mammalia; Primates; Hominidae. The record is from RNAcentral.